RNAcentral lists this ribosomal RNA (253 nucleotides) under uncultured bacterium. RNAcentral's name for it is "partial 16S ribosomal RNA". It matches the Rfam family "Bacterial small subunit ribosomal RNA", at positions 524 to 776 of the family's 1533-position model. The record is from RNAcentral.
UACGUAGGGACCGAGCGUUGUCCGGAAUCAUUGGGCGUAAAGAGCGUGUAGGCGGCCACUUAAGUCCUGCGUGAAAUCUUGCGGCUCAACCGCAAGCGGUCGUGGAAAACUGGGUGGCUAGAGUGCGGGAGAGGAGAGUGGAAUUCCUGGUGUAGCGGUGGAAUGCGCAGAUAUCAGGAAGAACACCCGUGGCGAAGGCGGCUCUCUGGAACGCAACUGACGCUGAGACGCGAAAGCGUGGGGAGCAAACAGG